UAAACGACUCUCGGCAACGGAUAUCUCGGCUCUCGCAUCGAUGAAGAACGUAGCGAAAUGCGAUACUUGGUGUGAAUUGCAGAAUCCCGUGAACCAUCGAGUCUUUGAACGCAAGUUGCGCCCGAAGCCAUUAGGUCGAGGGCACGCCUGCCUGGGCGUCACGC
Molecule: ribosomal RNA, 164 nt
Filed under: Atriplex patula
Lineage: Eukaryota; Viridiplantae; Streptophyta; Magnoliopsida; Caryophyllales; Amaranthaceae
Also listed under: 3 other names
Description: 5.8S ribosomal RNA
Rfam family: 5.8S ribosomal RNA
About the family: 5.8S ribosomal RNA (5.8S rRNA) is a component of the large subunit of the eukaryotic ribosome. It is transcribed by RNA polymerase I as part of the 45S precursor that also contains 18S and 28S rRNA. Functionally, it is thought that 5.8S rRNA may be involved in ribosome translocation.
Source: RNAcentral